CCUACGGGAGGUAGCAGUAGGGAAUCUUCCACAAUGGACGAAAGUCUGAUGGAGCAACGCCGCGUGAGUGAAGAAGGGUUUCGGCUCGUAAAGCCCUGUUGGUAGUGAAGAAAGUUAGAGGUAGUAACUGGCCUUUAUUUGACGGUAAUUACUUAGAAAGUCACGGCUAACUACGUGCCAGCAGCCGCGGUAAUACGUAGGUGGCAAGCGGUGUCCGGAUUUAUUGGGCGUAAAGCGAGUGCAGGCGGUUCAAUAAGUCUGAUGUGAAAGCCUUCGGCUCAACCGGAGAAUUGCAUCAGAAACUGUUGAACUUGAGUGCAGAAGAGGAGAGUGGAACUCCAUGUGUAGCGGUGGAAUGCGUAGAUAUAUGGAAGAACACCAGUGGCGAAGGCGGCUCUCUGGUCUGCAACUGACGCUGAGGCUCGAAAGCAUGGGUAGCGAACAGGAUUAGAUACCCGAGUAGUC
RNAcentral lists this ribosomal RNA (465 nucleotides) under uncultured bacterium. Its description in RNAcentral is "partial 16S ribosomal RNA". It matches the Rfam family "Bacterial small subunit ribosomal RNA", at positions 338 to 795 of the family's 1533-position model. The record is from RNAcentral.